UCCGGAGGGGGCUAGCGUUGUUCGGAAUUACUGGGCGUAAAGCGCACGUAGGCGGACUGGAAAGUCAGAGGUGAAAUCCCAGGGCUCAACCUUGGAACUGCCUUUGAAACUCCCGGUCUUGAGGUCGAGAGAGGUGAGUGGAAUUCCGAGUGUAGAGGUGAAAUUCGUAGAUAUUCGGAGGAACACCAGUGGCGAAGGCGGCUCACUGGCUCGAUACUGACGCUGAGGUGCGAAAGCGGGGGGAGAAAACAGG
RNAcentral lists this ribosomal RNA (253 nucleotides) under uncultured bacterium. RNAcentral's name for it is "partial 16S ribosomal RNA". It matches the Rfam family "Bacterial small subunit ribosomal RNA", at positions 524 to 776 of the family's 1533-position model. The record is from RNAcentral.